AUUGAACGCUAGCGGGAUGCUUUACACAUGCAAGUCGAACGGCAGCGCGGACUUCGGUCUGGCGGCGAGUGGCGAACGGGUGAGUAAUGUAUCGGAACGUGCCCAGUAGCGGGGGAUAACUACGCGAAAGCGUAGCUAAUACCGCAUACGCCCUACGGGGGAAAGCAGGGGAUCGUAAGACCUUGCACUAUUGGAGCGGCCGAUAUCGGAUUAGCUAGUUGGUGAGGUAACGGCUCAACAAGGCGACGAUCCGUAGCUGGUUUGAGAGGACGACCAGCCACACUGGGACUGAGAAACGGCCCAGACUCCUACGGGAGGCAGCAGUUGGGAAUUUUGGACAAUGGGGGCAACCCUGAUCCAGCCAUCCCGCGUGUGCGAUGAAGGCCUUCGGGUUGUAAAGCACUUUUGGCAGGAAAGAAACGUCGCGGGCUAAUACCCCGUGGAACUGACGGUACCUGCAGAAUAAGCACCGGCUAACUACGUG
RNAcentral lists this ribosomal RNA (484 nucleotides) under uncultured bacterium. Its description in RNAcentral is "partial 16S ribosomal RNA". It matches the Rfam family "Bacterial small subunit ribosomal RNA", at positions 30 to 507 of the family's 1533-position model. The record is from RNAcentral.